Molecule: ribosomal RNA, 467 nt
Filed under: uncultured bacterium
Lineage: Bacteria
Description: bacterial SSU rRNA
Rfam family: Bacterial small subunit ribosomal RNA
Source: RNAcentral
CGGACGACGCUGGCGGCGCGCCUAACACAUGCAAGUCGAACGAGCGAGAGAGAGCUUGCUUUCUCGAGCGAGUGGCGAACGGGUGAGUAACGCGUGAGGAACCUGCCUCAAAGAGGGGGACAACAGUUGGAAACGACUGCUAAUACCGCAUAAGCCCACGACCCGGCAUCGGGUUGAGGGAAAAGGAGCAAUCCGCUUUGAGAUGGCCUCGCGUCCGAUUAGCUAGUUGGUGAGGUAAUGGCCCACCAAGGCGACGAUCGGUAGCCGGACUGAGAGGUUGAACGGCCACAUUGGGACUGAGACACGGCCCAGACUCCUACGGGAGGCAGCAGUGGGGAAUAUUGCACAAUGGGGGAAACCCUGAUGCAGCGACGCCGCGUGGAGGAAGAAGGUCUUCGGAUUGUAAACUCCUGUUGUUGAGGAAGAUAAUGACGGUACUCAACAAGGAAGUGACGGCUAACUACGUG